GUGCUAACUUCGGGGGCACAAAUACUAAAACAGGAACAUACAGGGAAGAUUAGCCUGGCCUUUGUGCAAGGAUGACAUGAAAAUAGGUAAAAUUCUUGAAGACAGUU
This is a small nuclear RNA of Octodon degus (degu), 107 nucleotides long. Lineage: Eukaryota; Metazoa; Chordata; Mammalia; Rodentia; Octodontidae. The record is from Ensembl.